Molecule: non-coding RNA, 97 nt
Organism: Erwinia sp.
Lineage: Bacteria; Pseudomonadati; Pseudomonadota; Gammaproteobacteria; Enterobacterales; Erwiniaceae
Rfam family: Bacterial small signal recognition particle RNA
About the family: The signal recognition particle (SRP) is a universally conserved ribonucleoprotein involved in the co-translational targeting of proteins to membranes.
Source: Rfam
GGUUGGUUCUCCCGCAAUGCUAACUUGUGAAUUCGGUCAGGUCCGGAAGGAAGCAGCCGCAGCAGGUGACGCGUGUGCCGGGAUGUAGCUGGCAGGA